This 267-nucleotide unclassified non-coding RNA is filed under the name plant metagenome. RNAcentral describes it as "partial contains small subunit ribosomal RNA, internal transcribed spacer 1, and 5.8S ribosomal RNA". The record is from RNAcentral.
UUUCCGUAGGUGAACCUGCGGAAGGAUCAUUAUCGUACAAAAUGUGAGGGGCAUUCUAGUGCUGUCGCUGACCCAAAAGUCGUGCACGCCCGAGUGUGUCCUCUUGCAUAAGAAUCCAUCUCACCCUUUGUGCAUCACCGCGUGGGCACCCUUCGGGAUCAUCUCGGAGGCGGCCUCUCGUUUUAACACAAACCCCCCUUUUAAAAGUGUAGAAUGACCACAUUUAUGCAAUCAAUACAACUUUCAACAACGGAUCUCUUGGCUCUC